GGGUUGUGGCUCAGCGGUAGAGCGCUUGCCUACUAGCAUGUGCAGGCCCUGGGUUCGAUCCUCAGUGCUCA
RNAcentral lists this transfer RNA (71 nucleotides) under Marmota monax (woodchuck). RNAcentral describes it as "tRNA.Undet". Lineage: Eukaryota; Metazoa; Chordata; Mammalia; Rodentia; Sciuridae. The record is from RNAcentral.